RNAcentral lists this transfer RNA (72 nucleotides) under Stegodyphus mimosarum. It matches the Rfam family "tRNA". From Rfam's summary of the family: Transfer RNA (tRNA) molecules are approximately 80 nucleotides in length. Their secondary structure includes four short double-helical elements and three loops (D, anti-codon, and T loops). Lineage: Eukaryota; Metazoa; Arthropoda; Arachnida; Araneae; Eresidae. The record is from Rfam by way of RNAcentral.
GCCUUCGUGGUAUAGUGGUCAGCACGCUCGACGCGUAACCGAAUGUUCGUGGUUCGAUUCCCGGCGAAGGCG